CCCUUACCUCGAGGUAGUCGCUUAAAUGUUCUCUGUUAGCAAUGGUGGCGUCUCUGGUGCUCUCUAGAGCUCCUCCUCUGAUUGCUCUGUUAGGGUUCUUGUGCGUCAGAAAAGAAGAAAGGAACAGAAUGUGUUUUCCAAAAAGCUGCUCUAGGUUAACAUUUGGCUUAUAUAGUGGGAAUUUAUGACCUAAUAAUUUUU
Molecule: long non-coding RNA, 201 nt
Filed under: Glycine max (soybean)
Lineage: Eukaryota; Viridiplantae; Streptophyta; Magnoliopsida; Fabales; Fabaceae
Description: long non-coding RNA (GMAX_LNC004704)
Source: RNAcentral